Molecule: ribosomal RNA, 219 nt
Filed under: uncultured bacterium
Lineage: Bacteria
Description: partial 16S ribosomal RNA
Rfam family: Bacterial small subunit ribosomal RNA
Source: RNAcentral
UAACCUACCCAUCAGAGGGGGAUAACACUUGGAAACAGGUGCUAAUACCGCAUAACAGUUUAUGCCGCAUGGCAUAAGAGUGAAAGGCGCUUUCGGGUGUCGCUGAUGGAUGGACCCGCGGUGCAUUAGCUAGUUGGUGAGGUAACGGCUCACCAAGGCCACGAUGCACAGCCGACCUGAGAGGGUGAUCGGCCACACUGGGACUGAGACACGGCCCAG